RNAcentral lists this transfer RNA (21 nucleotides) under Ceratodon purpureus. RNAcentral describes it as "partial tRNA-Leu". Lineage: Eukaryota; Viridiplantae; Streptophyta; Bryopsida; Pseudoditrichales; Ditrichaceae. The record is from RNAcentral.
AAAAUCCGUUGGCUUUAUUGA